RNAcentral lists this long non-coding RNA (338 nucleotides) under Struthio camelus australis. RNAcentral's name for it is "lncRNA (ENSSCUG00000018851.1)". Lineage: Eukaryota; Metazoa; Chordata; Aves; Struthioniformes; Struthionidae. The record is from RNAcentral.
AAAAGGCCCCAAUACAUUUCUCUAGUCUAGUUUCUCCUACAAUUAAAUUGUUAUUUGUUGUAGUAGAACAUUUUUUCUCUCUCCAGCAGGCACAACAAUGCAGUGCGCUUUGGCCAGUCUGACAGUCCAGAAGACCAAUAGUCUUGUCCAGUAAAACAGUCUCAAAAUAGGAGCAAGGCUUAUACUGCUUACAUUGUGGCUGUGCUGCUGAAUACCAGCUGCCGACCAGAACUCUGACGUGUGUCUGGGCUUGGACAAAAGACAAAGCGUAUAUAUCUACUGUGGAAACCAUUCUACUGAUUAAAAAGCUACAAAGUGUUGAUGUUAUGUCGGCCUCA